CCUACGGGCGGCAGCAGUGGGGAAUAUUGGACAAUGGGGGCAACCCUGAUCCAUCCAUGCCGCGUGUGUGAAGAAGGCCCUCGGGUUGUAAAGCACUUUCAGUGAGGAAGAACGCCUGGUGGUUAAUACCCAUCAGGAAAGACAUCACUCACAGAAGAAGCACCGGCUAACUCCGUGCCAGCAGCCGCGGUAAUACGGAGGGUGCGAGCGUUAAUCGGAAUUACUGGGCGUAAAGCGCGCGUAGGUGGCUUGAUAAGCCGGUUGUGAAAGCCCCGGGCUCAACCUGGGAACGGCAUCCGGAACUGUCAAGCUAGAGUGCAGGAGAGGAAGGUAGAAUUCCCGGUGUAGCGGUGAAAUGCGUAGAGAUCGGGAGGAAUACCAGUGGCGAAGGCGGCCUUCUGGACUGACACUGACACUGAGGUGCGAAAGCGUGGGUAGCAAACAGGAUUAGAUACCCUUGUAGUC
This 465-nucleotide ribosomal RNA is filed under the name Vreelandella stevensii. Its description in RNAcentral is "partial 16S ribosomal RNA". It matches the Rfam family "Bacterial small subunit ribosomal RNA", at positions 338 to 795 of the family's 1533-position model. Lineage: Bacteria; Pseudomonadati; Pseudomonadota; Gammaproteobacteria; Oceanospirillales; Halomonadaceae. The record is from RNAcentral.